This 2964-nucleotide long non-coding RNA is filed under the name Salmo salar (Atlantic salmon). RNAcentral's name for it is "lncRNA (ENSSSAG00000082354.1)". Lineage: Eukaryota; Metazoa; Chordata; Actinopteri; Salmoniformes; Salmonidae. The record is from RNAcentral.
CCCAGGACUUCUACUUCAACAACAAAUGUGGUUUUGGUUCCAAAUAAUCCAUAGUUAUAUUCAAAUACCUCCGUUUUGUUCGUGCGUUCAGGUCACUAUCCGAAGGGUAACGCGUGAGCGCAUUUCGUGACAAUUUUUUCUAAAAUAUUCCAUUACCGUACUUAGAAGCAUGUCAAACGCUGUUUAACCUGUUAGGGCUAGGGGGCAGUAUUGACACGGCUGGAUAAAAAAACGUACCCGAUUUAAUCUGGUUACUACUCCUGCCCAGUAACUAGAAUAUGCAUAUAAUUAUUGGCUUUGGAUAGAAAACACUCCAAAGUUUCUAAAACUGUUUGAAUAGUGUCUGUGAGUAUAACAGAACUCAAAUGGCAGGUCAAAACCUGAGAAGAUUCUGUACAGGAAGUACCCUGUCUGACCAUUUCUUGGCCUUCUUUGCCAUCUCUAUCCAUUACAAAGGAUCUCUGCUGUUACGUGACACUUCCUACGGCUGCGAUAGGCUCUCAGAAGGCGGCAAAAAGCUGAAUCGUGGCUUUGCAGGCUCUGGCUGAAAAAAAGUAGCGCGUUUGGGUAGUGGCUGGUUACAGUACUGUGAGACUCAGGCGCGUGCCCGCGUCGACCGAAUGCUUUGUUUUCUUUCCUCUGUUUACCUAAACGGAGAUUCCCGGGCGGAAUAUUAUCGCUUUUUUACGAGAAAAAUGGCAUAAAAAUGGAUUUUAAACAGCGGUUGACAUGCUUCGAAGUACGGUAAUGGAAUAUUUAUACAUUUUUUGUCACGAAUUGCGCCAUGCUCGUAACCCUGAUUUACCAUUUCGGAUAGUGUCUGGAACGCACGAACAAAACGCAGCUAUUUGGAUAUAACGAUGGAUUAUUUUGGACCAAACCAACAUUUGUUAUUGAAGUAGCAGUCCUGGGAGUGCAUUCUGACGAAGACAACAAAGAGGGAGAGAAACCAAAAGUCCACCAUCGCCUCAUGGGUUUCCCAGUCGCGGCUGGCAUGGGUAUCGUACCAGCAUCUGUAGCAACGCAGUUUGCACUGCAAUGCAGUGUCUUAGACCGCUGCGCCACUCUGUUAGGAAAAUAUGGCCUGUACAACGUGACCGUUUCCACACCCUAAUCACAGUCAGAAGACAGUUGAAGAAACUUGUGUGGACUUAUGGAAAGGCUCGGCCCAGAUCAAAGCUGUCGAGACAUUCAAUGACGUCAUCUUCACAGACUAAUCAACUCUGGCCCUUGAGCAAUUUGCUCAAAAUUGCUACAGAAAAAAGGAAGAAGAUCAAGCAAGCCGAUUCCCAAGCAUCUGCUCAAACUCCAUGUGUGGGGGGCAAUUUCUCGCCAGAGACCAGGCCCAUAUUUGAUUUGAUGGUAAGUUCGGCUAUUUAUAAAGCAAAAGGUACAUAAAAUAUUAUAGCCUACACCUCACGGACUGCUAUGUGUUCCACAAUAAUUCACAGUUGGCUCAUUUUUCAGGUAUCAUGGCUCGAGAUUUUUUUGAGGAAGAAAUCAUCAAGAGAUAUGCUGGACCCUAUGUCCGAGAGGUAUUUCUGGGACUACAUUGUUUCUUUCAAGUUGGGAUUAUAGCAAUAUUUUGUUAUGUUUAGGCCUAUUUACAUGUAUAUUUCUAGUAUUGUACCUAAUGUUGGCUGUUAGGCUAAAAGUAUUUUUUUCUUCUACAAAUGCAGACAAUGACCCAAAACACACUGCCUCCUGGGUUUGCAUUGCAAAUGAGGGCUUUUACCCGCGGUCAUGGAGCUGGGUGGAAGUGCAACUAAAAUGUAGUUUAAAUAAACAUCUGCAUUUUGAAUGUCUUUUUUGUCGUUAUUUUAUUAUCGAAAGCAUAAAGAUGUUGAUGAAGAAAUACUGUACUGCUGUUUUGAGUUAGAAAUGUAACACUUUAGAGUACUUAAGCAUUGAAUAAAAGUUGGGGGAUGUUCACUCCUACAGUAGCCGGGCUAUAAAGAGUCUAUUGUCCUGCUUAUAGGGCUACACCUGCUACAGUACACUUUUGAAAAACAAGUGUUUGAAAACCUGUUUUCAAAAUGCCUCCAGCUGUCCAUCACUACGUUAAAUAAAAACACAGCAUCUUGUUUACAUUUUUUAUUGUAACCUCAAUGUCACAAGUAAUUUGUAUCUACCUUUACAAUUACUUUUAGAGUUUGGGAUUUACAAAUGUGUGCUUUUCAUGUAAUUUUUUGUUAAAUCCAGUUCGGAUUUAAGUAUAACUUUUGACUGACGCCUUAAGUGAGAGGUCUAAUGCUUUAAUAUUUAAUAAUUUCUGCCCUCAGAAUUCAUAUUUAAGGGGCAUUUUUCGCGCCAUUAUUGGUUACAUUGUUUUAGUUUGAACUUGCAGACAGGCACUAAGAACAGCGGGAACAUUCCCUAGUCAGCACCAUUAUUAGUGCAAUGCCCCUUAAAGUGUUGCUCUGUGCUACCCAGUGCAAUGCCCCUUCCUCCUCCUCCCUUCUAGUGAUGGGUCAUUCGCGAACGAGCCGGCUCUGGGAGCCUUUGGGAGCCAGCUUGCAUAUCAGAAGCGCCAAAUCUAUUUAUAGAACUAUAAAAAAAUUAAGAUAUGAAUAAUCAAAAGAUUUAAAUGAAUAGAAUUAACUAAUUCAAAGAACUAAAAAAUAUAUAUGAUAAUAUAGGCCUAAAUGCUCAAGCGCGCACAGACAUUCCAUCUGACUGUCUGCUCAGAUUAACAGCCUCACCUGUUGUUCCUGUCAACAGACACGCAGUGUCAACCAACGAACCAAAGAUGUGUGAGGGAGGGCCGAGCCAACUCACUCACAGUCACACACUUAGCAACCGAGGAGAGAGAGGAAGGACAGCUGUGAAAACAUAUUUUUUAAAGAGCCGUUUGGGAGCCAAAAGAGCCGGCUCUUUUUGGUGAGCUGAGCCGAACGAGCCGGCUCACUGAAAAGAGCCGGAAUGCCCAUCACUACUCCCUUCCCCAUGGACCAGGUCCGUCUU